CGACAGGUAGGAUCGGGAGGAUAGUCGUCUCCCAUUGUCCUGAAACCGACUAUAUGCAGGGGUCAGUAACCGUCGGGUAAAACGCGGGCAGGUUCGUACUGUCCCGGCCUACGGGGACGAAUCCACGCCACGUCGGGCUGUCACAGGAGCGUGCUCUUCGAAGGGAGGGUUCCGACUCUGAACCAUCGAAUCGGGCGAGAUCCGGGAGGGAGCAACCCUAAGGUGGAAUGGCUGCGCUAGCGUGUCUACGCGGAGGACUCGUAAAGCUGGGAUAAAGGCAUCCGGCUCACGCGAACACUGUUGGAGCUGUCG
This 312-nucleotide signal recognition particle RNA is filed under the name Nitrososphaerota archaeon. Its description in RNAcentral is "signal recognition particle sRNA". It matches the Rfam family "Archaeal signal recognition particle RNA". The record is from RNAcentral. Lineage: Archaea; Thermoproteati; Nitrososphaerota.